Zonotrichia albicollis (white-throated sparrow) is the source of this 686-nucleotide non-coding RNA. The record is from RefSeq and is a predicted model, not a curated record. Lineage: Eukaryota; Metazoa; Chordata; Aves; Passeriformes; Passerellidae.
ACAGAAAUAACAAAAACAAAGUAAAAUCUCCCUGCAUGCUAUUUUGUACAUUUCAGAGAACAGUGUUCUGAGUACUGCAUGGCAGGAUUAUAUUAUCUUAAUAAAUACAUCCUUAAAGAAAAAAGAAAGUGUUUAAAUAUACGUUACUUUUAAUAUUUUAUAUCAUUUUCUUGAGAGGCUUACUUCUUAUUUAAUUGUGGUGAAAUCUAGGUGUCAAAAAUUAGAAUUUUAAAAAAGAAACGUGAUUGCUGUCUCUUCAUCAAUUAUGACAUUCAUUUCCAUUCUCACUACCAAGGGGGCUCAUGAACUACAUGGAGUAAUGCCCUCUGUUCCUGGUGGCUCCUCAAUCAACAAGGCACAAGGAUUAAAGGAAAAUACUCAUCUUGGGAAGUUCAUGGGAACAUGAAUAAAUUGAAGUCAUCCUCUGCUCUACAAAGACAAUCAGUAGAAGUUAUACGCUGCUGCUUCUGAAGAUUUUGCCCAAGGAUGUAAUGAGGCACAGCAUUACUCACUUGAAGUUGUAAGUCCGACUGGUGUUGCAAAAGGAUCUUCCAAAAGGUGCUGCAUCUGUCUUAGACACACAGAUUUUCAAGCAGCUAAACAAUAAAAAAAAAUCAACAAGAAACUGUGAGUAAUAUGUGACUUGCUGUAACCUGGAGCCAUGCACACUAUUUAAUCAGCAAAAC